GACAUGAUGGCUGAGUGUCUAAGCGGUGGAUUGUAGCCCCAUAGACAGAGGUUCAAAUCCUCUUCGUGUCA
RNAcentral lists this transfer RNA (71 nucleotides) under Lampadena atlantica. Its description in RNAcentral is "tRNA-Tyr". It matches the Rfam family "tRNA". From Rfam's summary of the family: Transfer RNA (tRNA) molecules are approximately 80 nucleotides in length. Their secondary structure includes four short double-helical elements and three loops (D, anti-codon, and T loops). Further hydrogen bonds mediate the characteristic L-shaped molecular structure. tRNAs have two regions of fundamental functional importance: the anti-codon, which is responsible for specific mRNA codon recognition, and the 3' end, to which the tRNAs corresponding amino acid is attached (by aminoacyl-tRNA synthetases). tRNAs cope with the degeneracy of the genetic code in two manners: having more than one tRNA (with a specific anti-codon) for a particular amino acid; and 'wobble' base-pairing, i.e. permitting non-standard base-pairing at the 3rd anti-codon position. The record is from RNAcentral. Lineage: Eukaryota; Metazoa; Chordata; Actinopteri; Myctophiformes; Myctophidae.